CCACUGUCGGCGAAUUUCUUUUAUAAGAUCAAGAGGGAGACAUGUAAUCUUACAUGAUCGAUCCUCCUUUCCAACCGCUUUCCAUUGAUCGAUCCAUUCCCUGAUAACCUCCCUUUUCUUUAUUCACAUCACAACUAAGACUGAUCCCACUCUGCUCACUGCUCGCCCAAAGUAAAUGAAAAUCUAACCCUCUUUAUUCUGGUAUAAAGUCAUUCUCAGAGCUCCAGCAUCUGACAGACACGUCUCCUCUCCUCCUCCUCUUCCUCCACCCUGCAAGUGAUAAUCAACGCUAUAGCAACAAUGGGUUCAUCCCCAAUUCCAAUUUCCCCAAGAAAACUUCGCUCUGAUCUCUACACCUUCUCGUCCCAAGAAGAUUCGACUUCAAGCACCCCUUUGGUCAUCUCUGUUCUUGCUUCUCUCCUCGAGAGAACCAUUGCUAGGAAUGAACGGAUUUCGGGAAAAUGCAGAUGGGCAUUGCCGAAAGAUGCUAGAAUUCAUGUCUUCGAAUGCUGCCAGGUGCCAAACAUGACAAUUCAGUCCUUUCUCGAGAGGAUUUUUCGCUACACUAGGGUUGCUUCCCCAGUUUACGUCGUUGCCUAUGUCUACAUUGAUCGCUUGUGCCAGAUCCAGCCUGAGUUUCGCAUCACCUCAAGCAAUGUAUAUAGGCUUCUCAUCACCACCAUCAUGGUGGCCUCCAAAUUUGUUGAAGACAUGAAUUAUAGGAAUUCGUACUUUGCGAAGGUUGGGGGAUUAACGACCAAGGAGAUGAACAAAUUAGAGGUUGAUUUUCUAUUCUUGAUGGGUUUCAGAUUGCACGUUAAUGUAAGCGUGUUUGAGAGCUAUUGCUGUCAUCUAGAGAGGGAAGUUAGCAUAGGAGGAGGAUACCAAAUAGAGAGGACUCUGAGGUCCAUGUGUUCCGGAGAUAUCAAAUCCGAAGGAGGAGGGGAAGAAAAUGAUCUCAACCAGCUUGCGCGUGUUAUCCGAUGCAGCUCAUAUUAGAAGCCCCUUUGUAACAUUUUUGCCUGCAACUGUCGGGCAGGAUAAACUCAUGUACAGAGAAUCGUAUACAAGAGUGUUACUUUGUUAUCCCCGUCAAUGAGGAAGGAAUUACUGCAAUUUUAUCUUGUGCAGAUAAUGUGCUUGCAAAAAUGGCUCAGGAGAUGUUGGAAGGUGUGAGCAGGGCUCAUGCAUGAUGAACUUGCAUAGAUGGCUGUCAGGGUGACUUGGUGAGUGCUUGGCUGCUUGUUAGGAAGGAUUUGGUCAUUUGGCACGUAGAACUAACAUGCAUUUCAGCUGGAAUACGGAAUGGACCAUAAACUUGAUAUAUGAACAAUGGAAUUAACUCCCUGGAGAAUCCAUAACUCCACCUACAAGAGGAAACUUUUUGUCCAAAUGAUAGUUUCUUAUGUUAAAGAUUUCCUUUCUUUCUUGAGGAGUAAAAUUUGGAACUCAAAUGUGGGGAGUAAAAUUUUACUCUUGUACAGUUUUUAUUCAUUUGGUUCACUCAAAUUUUAUUUGGUCAAUCCGUGAAAAUCAA
Molecule: RNA transcript, 1537 nt
Organism: Nelumbo nucifera (sacred lotus)
Lineage: Eukaryota; Viridiplantae; Streptophyta; Magnoliopsida; Proteales; Nelumbonaceae
Gene name: cyclin-U2-1
Source: RefSeq, a predicted model, not a curated record